This 470-nucleotide ribosomal RNA is filed under the name Streptococcus sp. oral taxon 071. RNAcentral's name for it is "bacterial SSU rRNA". It matches the Rfam family "Bacterial small subunit ribosomal RNA", at positions 28 to 480 of the family's 1533-position model. Lineage: Bacteria; Bacillati; Bacillota; Bacilli; Lactobacillales; Streptococcaceae. The record is from RNAcentral.
GACGAACGCUGGCGGCGUGCCUAAUACAUGCAAGUAGAACGCUGAAGAGAGGAGCUUGCUCUUCUUGGAUGAGUUGCGAACGGGUGAGUAACGCGUAGGUAACCUGCCUGGUAGCGGGGGAUGACUAUUGGAAACGAUAGCUAAUACCGCAUAAAAUGGAUUAUCGCAUGAUAAUCCAUUGAAAGGUGCAAAUGCAUCACUACCAGAUGGACCUGCGUUGUAUUAGCUAGUUGGUGGGGUAACGGCUCACCAAGGCGACGAUACAUAGCCGACCUGAGAGGGUGAUCGGCCACACUGGGACUGAGACACGGCCCAGACUCCUACGGGAGGCAGCAGUAGGGAAUCUUCGGCAAUGGACGGAAGUCUGACCGAGCAACGCCGCGUGAGUGAAGAAGGUUUUCGGAUCGUAAAGCUCUGUUGUAAGAGAAGAACGAGUGUGAGAGUGGAAAGUUCACGCUGUGACGGUAUCU